AUGAUCACUGAAGUUAAGCAAAGUCAAGCCUGGCCAGUACCUAGAUAGGUGACCACUUGGGAAUACCAGGUGCUGUAAG
Non-coding RNA from Acanthosepion pharaonis, 79 nucleotides. NCBI's taxonomy places the organism in Eukaryota, Metazoa, Mollusca, Cephalopoda, Sepiida, Sepiidae. The record is from the annotation of a GenBank genome assembly.